RNAcentral lists this ribosomal RNA (497 nucleotides) under uncultured bacterium. RNAcentral's name for it is "bacterial SSU rRNA". It matches the Rfam family "Bacterial small subunit ribosomal RNA", at positions 21 to 518 of the family's 1533-position model. The record is from RNAcentral.
GGCUCAGGACGAACGCUGGCGGCGUGCCUAACACAUGCAAGUCGAGCGGAGUUAACAAGAGGAAGUUUCGGAUGGAAUUUGUUAAUUAGCGGCGGACGGUGAGUAACGCGUGAGCGACCAACCUUGCACAGGGGGAUAACGGACCGAAAGGUUCACUAAUACCGCAUGAGACCACGGUGUUGCAUGACACAGAGGUCAAAGGAGCAAUCCGGUGCAAGACGGGCUCGCGUCCGAUUAGGUAGCUGGUGGGGUAAUGGCCCACCAAGCCUAUGAUCGGUAGCCGACCUGAGAGGGUGAUCGGCCACAUUGGAACUGAGAUACGGUCCAAACUCCUACGGGAGGCAGCAGUGGGGAAUAUUGGGCCAAUGGGGGAAACCCUGACCCAGCAACGCCGCGUGAAGGAAGAAGGUUUUCGGGUUGUAAACUUCUGUCCUUGGUGAAGAGAAGAAGACGGUAGCCAAGGAGGAAGCCCCGGCUAACUACGUGCCAGCCGCUGC